UUUUGUCCGUUUUCUUAGGCAAACAAUGUUACCCAUGUAGCGAGCUUUGGGUCAGUGACUCCCAAACCAAACGGUCUUAGGGCACUAGGUUUUGAAAUCCCCCUACGGACUUAAUUGCUCGAGUAACAAAGGCCACAAAACGAGACUAGUCAAUCUACUUUUGCCCAUUUAUCUAAAGAUUUUAUCUAUAAAGAACAAUGGGUAUUGAAGUAGCUUAUUCUAUGUCUUUUUCUAUCUUUUUUUUUUUUUUUUUUCCUUUUUUUUAUUCGCAAAGGUUCGAUUCGACAUUGUUUCAACAUGUGGGUUCUCUCUCAGGUAUCGAAUAAUAUCACUAGACAAUCU
This 342-nucleotide long non-coding RNA is filed under the name Daucus carota (carrot). Its description in RNAcentral is "long non-coding RNA (DCAR_LNC007620)". Lineage: Eukaryota; Viridiplantae; Streptophyta; Magnoliopsida; Apiales; Apiaceae. The record is from RNAcentral.